CUUUCAACCAGUUUUUCAGAGCUGGCAGCCACUGACUGAGCGGUACCGAAGCAGGCAGAGGCUGUUUUCUACUGUUGUCACUGUGGCAUCAAACUACCGAGCCAGCAGUGGCACUGAAGCAUUUACCACCUGCGGGCUAGGACACUGCUGUGGAGACGAGGAGGCGGCCAGAGAGAAAUGUUUUAAUAAAAAGUUUAAAUAAAAUGUUUUCUGCA
Molecule: long non-coding RNA, 215 nt
Organism: Melanotaenia boesemani (Boeseman's rainbowfish)
Lineage: Eukaryota; Metazoa; Chordata; Actinopteri; Atheriniformes; Melanotaeniidae
Exons: 2
Source: RefSeq, a predicted model, not a curated record